UACGUAGGGUGCAAGCGUUGUCCGGAAUUAUUGGGCGUAAAGAGCUCGUAGGCGGUCUGUCGCGUCGAAUGUGAAAAUCCGAGGCUCAACCUCGGACCUGCAUUCGAUACGGGCAGACUAGAGUUCGGUAGGGGAGUCUGGAAUUCCUGGUGUAGCGGUGAAAUGACGCAGAUAUCAGGAGGAACACCGGUGGCGAAGGCGGGACUCUGGGCCGAUACUGACGCUGGAGGAGCGAAAGCGUGGGGAGCAAACAGG
Molecule: ribosomal RNA, 255 nt
Filed under: uncultured bacterium
Lineage: Bacteria
Description: partial 16S ribosomal RNA
Rfam family: Bacterial small subunit ribosomal RNA
Source: RNAcentral